CCCUUAGAUGUCCUGGGCCGCACGCGCGCUACACUGAUACAUUCAACGAGUAUUUCCUUGGCCGAGAGGCCUGGGCAAUCUUUUAAACCUGCAUCGUGAUAGGGAUAGAUUAUUGCAAUUAUUAAUCUUGAACGAGGAAUUCCUAGUAAACGCAAAUCAUCAAUUUGCAUUGAUUACGUCCCUGCCCUUUGUACACACCGCCCGUCGCACCUACCGAUUGAAUGGUCCGGUGAAAUCUCGGGAUUGUGGCCAGUUCACUUUAUUGGGAGUUGGCUGCGAGAACUUGCUUAAACCUUAUCAUUUAGAGGAAGGUGAAGUCGUAACA
This 325-nucleotide ribosomal RNA is filed under the name uncultured eukaryote. RNAcentral describes it as "partial 18S ribosomal RNA". It matches the Rfam family "Eukaryotic small subunit ribosomal RNA", at positions 1470 to 1796 of the family's 1831-position model. The record is from RNAcentral.